GACCUGUUUGCAGCUAGUUGAGAUGGUAUGGAGUUGAAUCUUUCUAGUGAAGUUGACUACCUAAUAUUACGAUCAUUCUUGUGAUUUUUUACUAGUGCUGUAGGUUUUGAGUUCAUGAUCAUAACUAAAAUUGUCAAAUAUGAAUACGUGUUGUCUAAUGGGAUCCUUCUCUUUGAUACAGCUUUGAUGUUGCAACUAAGUGUAGGGGACAUGUAGAAAUUUUAGAAAGAAGAGGAUGUCAAGAAAAUAGAAGAUAAAAGAGUUAAGAAAAGAAAUGGUCUAAGUUACCAUUUUAGAUUCAGUAUUUUGUAAAUAUUGUUUUAUAACAUUGUACUUGAGAGUGUCAAGAAUUGGAGAGGAUGUUGAUGUUCCCAUAUUGAAAUCAAUAUUUCAUGAAUUUUGUUUCCAAACAUUCUACUUAUAAGUUCAUUCCAAUCUUUUUGGAUAGAUUCACAACAAUGCUAAUCUUGUAGAACUUCUAAUCUAGGGUAGUUUAAUUAAAUGACUUAUCAUAGAUAGAAGGCAAAUUAUAAUUAAAUAGAAUUUAUUUACAGAGUUGUAGCAAUAACUUUGGUGAGUUGGGAGUAUCUGAAUUUGGCCAAGAGUUGUAAAAUAUCUCUUAUUCUAAGGGAUAAGGGCUCUGAAAUAUGAAUUAUGGAUCCUGAAGAGAUCUUUCAGAUGAUUUUGAGAUCAUUAAAAUCUGAUAUUUGUGUGGAAAAUUACUCCUUUGGGAAGAUUGCUUGUUCCUUGUAGACUAAUUUUAGUCAUCCAACUUAUAUUUUUCUCAAAUUUAGAAUUUACAGUCUAGUUUUAUUAUUGAACUCAAGGGCAAGGUUUUUCAUGGUGAAGGAACUGAUGCA
This 860-nucleotide long non-coding RNA is filed under the name Elaeis guineensis (African oil palm). Its description in RNAcentral is "long non-coding RNA (EGUI_LNC010108)". Lineage: Eukaryota; Viridiplantae; Streptophyta; Magnoliopsida; Arecales; Arecaceae. The record is from RNAcentral.